CCUACGGGUGGCAGCAGUGGGGAAUAUUGGACAAUGGGCGAAAGCCUGAUCCAGCCAUGCCGCGUGUGUGAAGAAGGCCUUCGGGUUGUAAAGCACUUUCAGUGGGGAAGAAAGCCUUGGGGCUAAUACCCUCGAGGAAGGACAUCACCCACAGAAGAAGCACCGGCUAACUCCGUGCCAGCAGCCGCGGUAAUACGGAGGGUGCGAGCGUUAAUCGGAAUUACUGGGCGUAAAGCGCGCGUAGGCGGUCUGAUAAGCCGGUUGUGAAAGCCCCGGGCUCAACCUGGGAACGGCAUCCGGAACUGUCAGGCUAGAGUGCAGGAGAGGAAGGUAGAAUUCCUGGUGUAGCGGUGAAAUGCGUAGAGAUCGGGAGGAAUACCAGUGGCGAAGGCGGCCUUCUGGACUGACACUGACGCUGAGGUGCGAAAGCGUGGGUAGCAAACAGGAUUAGAUACCCCAGUAGUC
This 465-nucleotide ribosomal RNA is filed under the name Vreelandella stevensii. Its description in RNAcentral is "partial 16S ribosomal RNA". It matches the Rfam family "Bacterial small subunit ribosomal RNA", at positions 338 to 795 of the family's 1533-position model. The record is from RNAcentral. Lineage: Bacteria; Pseudomonadati; Pseudomonadota; Gammaproteobacteria; Oceanospirillales; Halomonadaceae.